UACGUAGGGUGCAAGCGUUGUCCGGAAUUAUUGGGCGUAAAGAGCUCGUAGGCGGUUUGUCGCGUCGAAUGUGAAAAUCCAGGGCUUAACCCUGGACCUGCAGUGGGUACGGGCAGACUAGAGUGCGGUAGGGGAGAUCGGAAUUCCUGGUGUAGCGGUGAAAUGCGCAGAUAUCAGGAGGAACACCGGUGGCGAAGGCGGAUCUCUGGGCCGUAACUGACGCUGAGGAGCGAAGGCAUGGGGAGCGAACAGG
Molecule: ribosomal RNA, 253 nt
Filed under: uncultured bacterium
Lineage: Bacteria
Description: partial 16S ribosomal RNA
Rfam family: Bacterial small subunit ribosomal RNA
Source: RNAcentral